Panicum virgatum (switchgrass) is the source of this 660-nucleotide long non-coding RNA. RefSeq lists it as uncharacterized. The transcript has 2 exons. The record is from RefSeq and is a predicted model, not a curated record. NCBI's taxonomy places the organism in Eukaryota, Viridiplantae, Streptophyta, Magnoliopsida, Poales, Poaceae.
CCCGUGGGCCGGUCCGUGCGUCGGCCGUGCCUGUGCAUUGUUUUGCUCCAUCCCCGUUGCUGCUGCUGGGCCAACACCUGCACACCUGCUCCAUCACCACGCGUCGGCAGUCGGUCGGAUGCGUCGGCUCUACGCGGUGCGGAGCGGAGCGGAGAUCUACAUGUCGUCCUUGACUGCGGAAAGAAUCCAUCCGCCCCGCCUGGUCUGCCUCCCCUCGCAGUCGUCGCCCCUCACGCUCGCCUUCUGCGUCAUCGUCAGCGAGUCCUCGAGCCGACGCUGCCGCCAAGCCUCACGGCCGUCCUCCUUCGCCAUGUACUGAACGAGACCACGCCGAGCAGCCCGAGCUCCUGCACCGCCGUCUCCGGUUAUCACACGUUAUGUUCCGGCCGACGUUCACUGCCUUCUUGGUCUCUCGGCUCGGAGAGCUCCGCCUACAGUUCCACAAGCGCCAGCUCCAAAUCCGGCUGCCCCCAUCAUUUCUGUUGCUUUGGUUAUUCUGUGACUGGUGGCUGCCUGCGUCAACCAUGCAGAGCCCUGUCGUGGUUGUAUUUGCCAUCAUCACCACAGAGUGGGGCGAAGCUAGAGCUGAAUGGAGGGGGGUGCACUGUCCAUGGAUUUGCUGCUUGUCCUAUUAUUUCUAUGGUGAAAAUUUGUUGAUUA